RNAcentral lists this ribosomal RNA (400 nucleotides) under Bradyrhizobium sp. KH20A. RNAcentral's name for it is "bacterial SSU rRNA". It matches the Rfam family "Bacterial small subunit ribosomal RNA", at positions 29 to 454 of the family's 1533-position model. Lineage: Bacteria; Pseudomonadati; Pseudomonadota; Alphaproteobacteria; Hyphomicrobiales; Nitrobacteraceae. RNAcentral also lists the same sequence under 1 other name. The record is from RNAcentral.
AGCGAACGCUGGCGGCAGGCUUAACACAUGCAAGUCGAGCGGGCGUAGCAAUACGUCAGCGGCAGACGGGUGAGUAACGCGUGGGAACGUACCUUUUGGUUCGGAACAACACAGGGAAACUUGUGCUAAUACCGGAUAAGCCCUUACGGGGAAAGAUUUAUCGCCGAAAGAUCGGCCCGCGUCUGAUUAGCUAGUUGGUAGGGUAAUGGCCUACCAAGGCGACGAUCAGUAGCUGGUCUGAGAGGAUGAUCAGCCACAUUGGGACUGAGACACGGCCCAAACUCCUACGGGAGGCAGCAGUGGGGAAUAUUGGACAAUGGGGGCAACCCUGAUCCAGCCAUGCCGCGUGAGUGAUGAAGGCCCUAGGGUUGUAAAGCUCUUUUGUGCGGGAAGAUAAUGA